GACGAACGCUGGCGGCGUGCUUAACACAUGCAAGUCGAACGGAAAGGCCCUGCUUUUGUGGGGUGCUCGAGUGGCGAACGGGUGAGUAACACGUGAGUAACCUGCCCUUGACUUUGGGAUAACUUCAGGAAACUGGGGCUAAUACCGGAUAGGAGCUCCUGCUGCAUGGUGGGGGUUGGAAAGUUUCGGCGGUUGGGGAUGGACUCGCGGCUUAUCAGCUUGUUGGUGGGGUAGUGGCUUACCAAGGCUUUGACGGGUAGCCGGCCUGAGAGGGUGACCGGCCACAUUGGGACUGAGAUACGGCCCAGACUCCUACGGGAGGCAGCAGUGGGGAAUAUUGCACAAUGGGCGGAAGCCUGAUGCAGCAACGCCGCGUGCGGGAUGACGGCCUUCGGGUUGUAAACCGCUUUUGCCUGUGAUGAAGCGUGAGUGACGGUAAUGGGUAAAGAAGCACCGGCUAACUACGUG
RNAcentral lists this ribosomal RNA (468 nucleotides) under uncultured bacterium. Its description in RNAcentral is "partial 16S ribosomal RNA". It matches the Rfam family "Bacterial small subunit ribosomal RNA", at positions 28 to 507 of the family's 1533-position model. The record is from RNAcentral.